AAGAUUUUAGGUGCUUGCAUUUAAAUGAUUUAACAUUGAGACGAGUGGCGAACUGGUGAGUAACACGUGGGUAACCUGCCCUUGAAGUAGGGGAUAACACUUGGAAACAGGUGCUAAUACCGUAUAACAACUCAAACCACAUGGUUUGAGUUUGAAAGAUGGCUUCGGCUGUCACUUUAGGAUGGACCCGCGGCGUAUUAGCUUGUUGGUGAGGUAACGGCUCACCAAGGCAAUGAUACGUAGCCGACCUGAGAGGGUAAUCGGCCACAUUGGGACUGAGACACGGCCCAAACUCCUACGGGAGGCAGCAGUAGGGAAUCUUCCACAAUGGACGAAAGUCUGAUGGAGCAACGCCGCGUGAGUGAUGAAGGGUUUCGGCUCGUAAAACUCUGUUGUUGGAGAAGAACAGGUGUGAGAGUAACUGUUCACAUCUUGACGGUAUCCAACCAGAAAGCCACGGCUAACUACGUGCCAGCAGCCGCGGUAAUACGUAGGUGGCAAGCGUUGUCCGGAUUUAUUGGGCGUAAAGCGAGCGCAGGCGGUUUUUUAGGUCUGAUGUGAAAGCCUUCGGCUUAACCGGAGAAGUGCAUCGGAAACCGGGAGACUUGAGUGCAGAAGAGGACAGUGGAACUCCAUGUGUAGCGGUGAAAUGCGUAGAUAUAUGGAAGAACACCAGUGGCGAACGCGGCUGUCUGGUCUGUAACUGACGCUGAGGCUCGAAAGCAUGGGUAGCGAACAGGAUUAGAUACCCUG
This 753-nucleotide ribosomal RNA is filed under the name Lentilactobacillus rapi. RNAcentral's name for it is "bacterial SSU rRNA". It matches the Rfam family "Bacterial small subunit ribosomal RNA", at positions 64 to 789 of the family's 1533-position model. The record is from RNAcentral. Lineage: Bacteria; Bacillati; Bacillota; Bacilli; Lactobacillales; Lactobacillaceae.